UGCAGAGGGGGCAAGCGUUAUUCGGAAUUAUUGGGCGUAAAGGGCGCGUAGGCGGCCUGGCAAGUGGAAGGUGAAAUCCCUCGGCUUAACCGAGGAACUGCCCUCCAAACUGCUUGGCUUGAGUCCGGGAGAGGUGAGUGGAAUUCCCAGUGUAGCGGUGAAAUGCGUAGAUAUUGGGAGGAACACCAGCGGCGAAGGCGGCUCACUGGACCGGAACUGACGCUGAGGCGCGAAAGCGUGGGGAGCGAUCCGG
RNAcentral lists this ribosomal RNA (253 nucleotides) under uncultured bacterium. RNAcentral's name for it is "partial 16S ribosomal RNA". It matches the Rfam family "Bacterial small subunit ribosomal RNA", at positions 524 to 776 of the family's 1533-position model. The record is from RNAcentral.